GAAUAUUGGACAAUGGGCGCAAGCCUGAUCCAGCCAUGCCGCGUGAGUGACGAAGGUCUUCGGAUUGUAAAGCUCUUUUGCCAGGGACGAUAAUGACGGUACCUGGAGAAUAAGCCCCGGCUAACUUCGUGCCAGAAGCCGCGGUAAUACGAAGGGGGCUAGCGUUGUUCGGAAUUACUGGGCGUAAAGCGCACGUAGGCGGAUUUGUAAGUCAGGGGUGAAAUCCCGGGGCUCAACCUCGGAACUGCCUUUGAUACUGCAAGUCUUGAGUCCGGAAGAGGUGAGUAGAAUUCCUAGUGUAGAGGUGAAAUUCGUAGAUAUUAGGAAGAACACCAGUGGCGAAGGCGGCUCACUGGUCCGGUACUGACGCUGAGGUGCGAAAGCGUGGGGAGCAAACAGG
This 400-nucleotide ribosomal RNA is filed under the name uncultured bacterium. Its description in RNAcentral is "bacterial SSU rRNA". It matches the Rfam family "Bacterial small subunit ribosomal RNA", at positions 359 to 776 of the family's 1533-position model. The record is from RNAcentral.